GCUGGUGUAAGACCUCAACGAGAAUCCUCUCGGGCGGGCAACCGGCAGUGAAGCAGGAAACCUCACGGGCGACCGUGGGAAUCCCCCUCGUUCACGAGGGGGAGGAGGUCAACUCAUCCUCC
RNAcentral lists this unclassified non-coding RNA (122 nucleotides) under Nonomuraea maritima. RNAcentral's name for it is "HgcC family RNA". The record is from RNAcentral. Lineage: Bacteria; Bacillati; Actinomycetota; Actinomycetes; Streptosporangiales; Streptosporangiaceae.